Molecule: transfer RNA, 70 nt
Filed under: Darthula hardwickii
Lineage: Eukaryota; Metazoa; Arthropoda; Insecta; Hemiptera; Aetalionidae
Description: tRNA-His
Source: RNAcentral
AUCUAAAUAGUUUAUUUUAAAAAUGUUAAUUUGUGGGAUUAUAGAUGUAAGUUUAUACUUACUUUGGAUU